AGAGGUGGCAAGCGUUGUUCGGAUUUACUGGGCGUAAAGGGUGCGUAGGUGGUUAGGUAAGACCUGCGGGAAAGACCUGGGCUUAACCCAGGAAGGUCGUAGGUGACUGCCUGGCUAGAGGGCGGGAGAGGAGAGCGGAAUUCCCGGUGUAGCGGUGAAAUGCGUAGAGAUCUGGAGGAAGGCCGGUGGCGAAGGCGGCUCUCUGGAACGUUCCUGACACAGAGGCACGAAAGCGUGGGGAGCAAACAGGAUUAGAUACCCUGGUAGUCCACGCCCUAAACGAUGGGUACUAAGUGUCGGCGGGUUACCGCCGGUGCCGCACCUAACGGAGUAAGUACCCCGCCUGGGGAGUACGGCCGCAAGGUUG
This 367-nucleotide ribosomal RNA is filed under the name uncultured bacterium. RNAcentral's name for it is "bacterial SSU rRNA". It matches the Rfam family "Bacterial small subunit ribosomal RNA", at positions 527 to 896 of the family's 1533-position model. The record is from RNAcentral.